RNAcentral lists this ribosomal RNA (253 nucleotides) under uncultured bacterium. Its description in RNAcentral is "partial 16S ribosomal RNA". It matches the Rfam family "Bacterial small subunit ribosomal RNA", at positions 524 to 776 of the family's 1533-position model. The record is from RNAcentral.
GACGUAGGGGGCCAGCGUUGUUCGGAAUUACUGGGUGUAAAGGGUUCGUAGGCGGUGCGGCAAGUUGGGAGUGAAAUCUCUGGGCUUAACCCAGAGGCUGCUUCCAAAACUGCUGUGCUUGAGUGUGGGAGAGGCGCGUGGAAUUGCAGGUGUAGCGGUGAAAUGCGUAGAUAUCUGGAGGAACACCGGUGGCGAAGGCGGCAUCCUGGACCGGUAUUGACGCUGAGGCGCGAAAGCCAGGGGAGCAAACGGG